Molecule: long non-coding RNA, 434 nt
Organism: Camellia sinensis
Lineage: Eukaryota; Viridiplantae; Streptophyta; Magnoliopsida; Ericales; Theaceae
Source: RefSeq, a predicted model, not a curated record
CAUUUAUUCCGUUAGCUGGAAAGAACACAGCCGAGAGAAAGCGGGAGGACAAUCGAGAGGGAGAAAGAAAGAACAAAAAGGGAAGAAAAAGAAUCCAAGUUUUGUGUUGGAAAAUUGAAGGAAGUGCUCAAGAAAUUUAUCAAAUUGAAGUGUAAAGGUGAACAAUUGGAGGAUCAACAUUAGAGUUUGCUUCGAAGUCUGCUUUUUUGUCAAGCCACCCAAUAAGUACCUCUAUGUAGAGGGUUUAUUUUAUUUUGUCAGGCUUGAGUUAAUCUUUGUGUUAUGUUAAAAGUCCUCCAUGUAGUGUGUGUGAGAUAUGUUUUAAAAUAUGUCUUCGUACAUGUAUAUAUAAAAGUGCGUUAAAAAUGUUUUAAUUAUCACAAUUGAUCAUGUACGCAUAGCUCAAUGGACAUUAUUAUUUUUGUUUUGCUUCC